AUGCUUUCUUUGGCAUUAUAUGUACUAAAAUUGGAAUGAGGCAAAGAUUAGCAUGCCCCCUGCCAAAGGAUGACACACAAAUUGGUGGUGUUCCUAUUUAAA
This is a small nuclear RNA of Cricetulus griseus (Chinese hamster), 102 nucleotides long. The record is from Ensembl. NCBI's taxonomy places the organism in Eukaryota, Metazoa, Chordata, Mammalia, Rodentia, Cricetidae.